Molecule: small RNA, 936 nt
Filed under: Pan troglodytes (chimpanzee)
Lineage: Eukaryota; Metazoa; Chordata; Mammalia; Primates; Hominidae
Description: retained intron
Source: RNAcentral
UCCAGCGUCCCGACCCCUUUUCCUCCCGCUGUCCCCCAGGGAGGGGACUGCUCUCCCCCGCUGCAUCCUUUCUGUGAGGUACCUUACCCACCUCAGCACCUGAGAGGGUGAAAUAGAAUUCUAACCUCGACAUUCGGGAAGUGUUUUUGAGAAGUCUCGGUCGGUAAGGGAAGUCUUCCAAGUUCGUGCAGCACUAACGUAUUGGCACCUGCCUCCUCUUCGGCCACCCCCCAGAUGAGGCAGCUGUGACUGUGUCAAGGGAAGCCACGACUCUGACCACAGUCUUCUCUCAGCUUCCACUGCCGUCUCCACAGGAAACCCAGAAGUUCUGUGAACAAGUCCAUGCUGCCAUCAAGACAUUUAUUGCAGUGUACUAUUUGCUUCCAAAGGAUCAGGCCCUGAGAACAAUGACCUUAUUUCCUACAACAGUGUCUGGGUUGCAUGCCAGCAGAUGCCUCAGAUACCAAGAGAUAACAAAGCUGCAGCUCUUUUGAUGCUGACCAAGAAUGUGGAUUUUGUGAAGGAUGCACAUGAAGAAAUGGAGCAGGCUGUGGAAGAAUGUGACCCUUACUCUGGCCUCUUGAAUGAUACUGAGGAGAACAACUCUGACAACCACAAUCAUGAGGAUGAUGUGUUGGGGUUUCCCAGCAAUCAGGACUUGUAUUGGUCAGAGGACGAUCAAGAGCUCAUAAUCCCAUGCCUUGCGCUGGUGAGAGCAUCCAAAGCCUGCCUGAAGAAAAUUCGGAUGUUAGUGGCAGAGAAUGGGAAGAAGGAUCAGGUGGCACAGCUGGAUGACAUUGUGGAUAUUUCUGAUGAAAUCAGCCCUAGUGUGGAUGAUUUGGCUCUGAGCAUAUAUCCACCUAUGUGUCACCUCACCGUGCGAAUCAAUUCUGCGAAACUUGUAUCUGUUUUAAAGAAGGCACUUGAAAUUACAAA